Molecule: ribosomal RNA, 456 nt
Filed under: uncultured organism
Description: partial 16S ribosomal RNA
Rfam family: Bacterial small subunit ribosomal RNA
Source: RNAcentral
ACGUACACUCCUACGGGAGGCAGCAGUGGGGAAUAUUGGACAAUGGGCGCAAGCCUGAUCCAGCCAUGCCGCGUGAGUGAUGAAGGCCCUAGGGUUGUAAAGCUCUUUCACCGGUGAAGAUAAUGACGGUAACCGGAGAAGAAGCCCCGGCUAACUUCGUGCCAGCAGCCGCGGUAAUACGAAGGGGGCUAGCGUUGUUCGGAUUUACUGGGCGUAAAGCGCACGUAGGCGGACUAUUAAGUCAGGGGUGAAAUCCCGGGGCUCAACCCCGGAACUGCCUUUGAUACUGGUAGUCUUGAGUUCGAGAGAGGUGAGUGGAAUUCCGAGUGUAGAGGUGAAAUUCGUAGAUAUUCGGAGGAACACCAGUGGCGAAGGCGGCUCACUGGCUCGAUACUGACGCUGAGGUGCUAAAGCGUGGGGAGCAAACAGGAUUAGAAACCCUGGUAGUCCCAUGAU